Molecule: long non-coding RNA, 2387 nt
Filed under: Olea europaea subsp. europaea
Lineage: Eukaryota; Viridiplantae; Streptophyta; Magnoliopsida; Lamiales; Oleaceae
Source: RNAcentral
UUUUUUUUUCCUUUAAAUGCGACGAAACCCUAUAAUUGAAUCAACGAUGCUUUUUCCCCUUCGUUAUCUUUGAAAAAUCGAAAUGAAAAUCUUCUUCACUUGACUGAUAAGUCAUUUUCUCAUCAAGAUUAAAUGGUAUACACUAAAAUGCGCAAAUUGUGUAUGAAGAACAGGAUGAUCAUGAUGAUUCCAGCUCAAGCAGUGUUCGUCACAAUAAACGUGGGUACACCAGACAAGUAAAUUUCAUUUCUACUUUUUUUUUCUUUUUUUUCUUUUUUUUUUUUUUAUAUUCUUAUCUGUUAAAAAAUCUUUGAAUUAGAGUGAAAUAAAAGUAAAGUGUGUUAUUUAAAAAAAAAAUAAAAAUAGUAGGAAUAGAGAAAUGAGGAAUGGAGAUAUGGUGAAUCCAGGCUUACGAUGAGGCCCCCAAAGGUUAAUUGAUUUAUUUCUUUCUCAAUUCUUUCAGUUUUAGCAGUCAAGACAAUGUUAGUUCCCGUCAUAUUUUAGAUUUUGGAAAUAAUCUGAAGAAAGAACAAAAAUAAACCCCUGUUGAAUUUUUGAGAUUUCCCAAAAUAAAUUUUUAAAAAGGUUCUGACACAGAAGAAAACAAACUCUGAUUUGAAGCCAAUAUCUAGCAACUUAAUCUAGUGAAGUAUGUGGAUGCUUUUUACCAAGUAGUGUAAAAAAUUAAUCAAGAUUGAUGAAGAAACAACAAAUACACAGAUUUUUUGCCAAAUGUUUCCCAGCAAUCUUUAGCUUUUUUACCUCCUGUAAAUAAUCCAUCCAAAACUUUUAUAUUUGGCAAAAAAAAUUAAUGAUCAAAAGCUAUUGUAGAAUUUGAAGCUGUGUUCAAUUAUUAGAAAGUCGCACAUUAAAUUUUGAGAUCUGGAUAUUGCUCUGUUUUGGUGGAGAAAUGGGAAGUUCAAAGGACGAAAUAGUUGUUGCUGUGAUCACAAUGGGUGGACCCACAAGAGGUAUGGUUAUUGUUUAUAUUUUUUUUUUCCUUUCAUCUUUAAUUAACUAAUUUUACUAUGUAUGAUUGCAAUGUGGUAUUGAUUAGAAUUUGAUUGCUCUUAGAGGGAAUAAUGAGUUCUUUUAUUAUAUUGAUUAUAACUAUUGAAAAUAUUUUAGUUUUAACUAAAUAUUUGGAUUUUCGGAUUGAAUAAGAUUACCCUUUUGUUGAUAUUACUUUUUCUAUAGGAAAAAUUAAGAUUUUUCUUUUUAAUUGAGAUUUUUAGGUGCAAGCACUAGAUUUAGGCCAUUGUUAUUAAAUAUUCCAAGGCCAUUUUUUUCACCAGUAGGGCAGCCCAUGGUUCAUCAACCAAUCUCUGCUUGUAAAAGGGUAUGAAAUUUCAUUGAAUUUAUAUCCAUAGCGAAAAGAUCGAAUAAUUUUGGAUCACUGGUAUCUCAUGAGUUUUAGGAAGGCAUUUUGUGACAUCAAACUUACAAAUAAAAUAUCAUUUACUCCAGGUAAUCAAAGGGGUUAUUAUGUUAAUUGAAAUUUUUUGAAGUAGCUCACAUAUUUGUACAAGUUUUGUAAAUGGUAUUUAAUGGAAUUAAUAUAUAUCACUUGGUCAUGGAAUUAAUAAUUCUUGUUAUCAGAUAAAUGUCUAUUUCUGUGUGUUAAGAAAUACUGUUGCUGGAUCUUCUCUGCAACCUAUCAGACUAACAAAUGCAAGGAUGUGUUCUAAAUAAGAGCAUCAAUCUCCCCAUUUAUACCAAUUGAUAGGUCUAUAAGUUUUGCAAUUGUAAUUUGUAAGGGCGAAAAGGGUAACUUAUGCUUACCCAAGUCAAGUUUCUUACCUUUUAUGGUGAUCUAUGUUCUCUGCACAGAAUUGAUGUUAAGGUUUCCAAAUUGAAGAAAGAACUUGAUGCGCUUAAAUCAUCAAAUAAUCAUACUGGGGAUGGUCAUGAAACAAACAUUCAAGAUAAUGCAAUUCUGAGACAGUGGUUCCUGUGGAAAGGAAUCGACAUCCAAUAGCCGCUAAUGGUUGAGGACUAGAACUAGCUUUAGUUUAUGAGGUGGUAUAUUUGUUGGCUUUUGUAUCAAACACUCGGUGGACAGUAUCUAUUAUGUCGUUGUUUAAUGUUGAAAGCGAUAUUUGCAGUUGGUUGUAAUUAAUUAAUGUAGAGAGAUGUUUCGAAAAUAGAUAAAGUUGAGUAAUUUUUAAUUCAUAAACAAGAGUUUGGAAAAAGAAGAUAACUAAUAAGUUUAGAUAAAAUCAAGUAGAAAAAUUGAUGUGUACAAAGAGAAGAACAUUGAUAAUGAUCGAUAAGUGGUGUAAAGAGAAAAAAACAUUGGUUAUAAUUGGAGAACCUACAUGGAAAUAAUGAAUAUAUCAGUUCAAUUUAACAAAACCUUGGAAUACCGACCAAAUACAUAGCCAUUG